Xiphophorus hellerii (green swordtail) is the source of this 842-nucleotide long non-coding RNA. RefSeq lists it as uncharacterized. Lineage: Eukaryota; Metazoa; Chordata; Actinopteri; Cyprinodontiformes; Poeciliidae. The transcript is spliced from 2 exons. The record is from RefSeq and is a predicted model, not a curated record.
CUUUGCCCCGCCCCAUGUCGGCCUGCUAGUCUGUGCCGUGUUGCUGCUUCAAACACCUUAACAAAAGGAACUAGAAAAACACUUCGAAGCCACAGGAGACUACAGGGAGGUUUGAUGGGUCGAGGUCUGGUGGCAAACCAGUACGCCAACACAGCUGUCAGGGCGCCAAUGCCCACCAAGGUGGAGGUCGGCAGGGAGCGAAAGAACUGGCCCAGCUCGUCCAUCUCUGGUAUCCUCAGGCCACUCAUCAUGUCCUGGACCUGCAUCUUCUCCAUUAGGGUGGAACUCAAUUCUGCAGAGGAAUCAGAGAUUUUAAACAUUGUUUGUAAUACAAACUGAACUGGUUUUGGAGCUUAGAUUGCAUCAUUUUGAUAAUUUCUUGCUUGUGCAGCAGGAAAACCAAACAUGAGGCUCCAAAACAUUAAUGUUUAUUUCUUUGCAGCCAUGGAAAAAGAAGAAGUAGAAGUAGACAAGGGAUUAAAACACAAAACCACUGACACUGACAGUGGGCAGCUGGCAUAAGCAAAAAAUAAAUCAUGUAAAAAAGUGACAAAUUGUUCCUAUUCCUGUAUGCCAAAUACAUGUUUCUUUCAAUGUCUAUCUUGACAUAAAGACUACAAAAAAUAUGCAUAAGUUGAUUCUGUUUAACUAUCUGUAGAAUUAAUUUUUUUUUUUUUAUGUUAGCUUCAAAUCUAAAAGUUUAAAAAUAAUUUUCAAAUUAAUAGUUUGUUAUGUUGCAUCAAUUGACAGGAAAUGUCAUCUUAAGGCACUUCACAUAAAAUCUAAUUUAUAUACAGAAAUGUGGCAACAGUAGAAAAAAUAAAGUGUUCAAUAAAUUUUGA